GCAGCAGCAGCAGCAGCAGCGACCGUGCACACCCGGGCUGCGGCCGCAGCCGCGCUAACGUGAGCGCCCGCCGCCGCCCUCUCCACCCCGCCUGCCUAUUCCCGCGGCCGCCGGGCUCUUGCUUUCUCUCCGGCCUCCCCUCGACCCUUCCCCUCCCCCUACCCGGCACACUCGGGGGCUGGGAACGAGCUGCCAUGUGAUGCGCGUCCUCUCCGAGAGCUUUCGGUGACCCCCGAACCGCCCACCGCGCCAGCUCCCGGGAGGAGGCUGCAGGCUGGGAAGACACUGGGAAGAGGAGGCGGAAAAGGACGCAAAGUUCUCUGGCGAGUGCAGCUGUCUGCUUCAGGAAGUGAGGUCUACAGCAACGAGGAGAAUCUUCCAAAGCUGCCUCGCACUGUGACAUGUCUGAGCCCUUGCUCCAGUCCCUGCAACAUGAACAAGGUGGACACUCACUGACCUGUCACAAGGUUGCCCUGCAAAGCUUUGGGGUCCAUGUCUGAAUGGAUUGCUGGAGUCUUCUCAUCUCUCCCUUCGCCCGGUUCCCUGCAUCCUAAGACUCGAAGCCAGCACAGAGCCUGGAAAAAU
Long non-coding RNA from Hyaena hyaena (striped hyena), 585 nucleotides. RefSeq lists it as uncharacterized. The record is from RefSeq and is a predicted model, not a curated record. Lineage: Eukaryota; Metazoa; Chordata; Mammalia; Carnivora; Hyaenidae. The transcript is spliced from 3 exons.